UUGAAGCUUUAAGAGAGAUGUUUUUGGUAACUAUUUCAUUUUCCCAAAGAAGUUUGCUAUUCUUGUGUUAAUUGUGUAUACCUGAUUGUUUUUUCCUGGAGGUUUUUGUUGUUGUUGUUUAGUUUUGGGUUUUUUUUUUUUUAAGAGAGGCAAGUGUUUUCUGAAAUGAUGCAUAUUUUAAGACUCGAUUCAUAUUGCCACUGUGCUAUCCUUGAACUACCAAUAAUUUUUAUAAAAUAUCUAGUUUUUACUUUUAUAUAAACUUUACUUUCCAGAUGAAGAGCUGAGCCUGAUUCAAAUGGUUUUUCUGCUUUAUACUUCUUUUUAGUUCAUUGGUUUUUAUAGUAGAGGUUUUCUAUUUGUUUUUUUUUUUUUUACUACAUUUAUAUGUCUGAUACAUAUACAGCUUUGGAGACAAUCAAGUAACAAUUGAAAAUGUGAAAGUAACCAUAUCUGACAAAAUUCCCUUGAAUUUUUAUCCUUUGCUUGCAACAUUUAAGACUCAAAGUCACUGGUAUAUUGGAUUAAGUUUUUUCCUGUUAAUGCAAUUAUAGAAAUACAUCGGAGACACAACAAAUGUGGCCAUUACAGGUUUCAUAAAAUUACACUGACUUGGCUGUUACUUGAUCUUAGGAAACAGCACAGUUUAAGAUAUUGUGAAUUCUGACUUAUACUUUAUUAAAUGCUGUAAAUCUAAAUAGAUCCUGUUGGAUGUGAUGGGUCUAGUCCAGUUUAUUUAAGUUCAUGUUUCACUGUUUGCACUUUGCAUUGAACAAUGGGUUUAUUCGCUGAUGUAAACGGUUCGAGUGAAGAAUUAAUGCAGUAAGUAUGACAACACAUACACACUUGCCUCUCCCCAUCUCCAGAAGAGGGGAGCAGAGUCCGAGCUUAUCUAAAUAUGAAUGUGGCCACAAAGCUGUGGAAAGUGACAAAGCUUAAACACCUUUGCCCUGGCUCUGCAUUGUCACCUAGAGAGCAAGAGGUCUAUAGAAACAUCAUGUCACAUGAAACGAUUCUCUGCUUUUUGGUUCUGAACUUGAAGUCCCUAAACUGCAAAAUCUAAGAGUUGGAUGGUUAUUAAAAUGCUUUUAAAGUCAACUGUGGCACCAAUUCUAAUGUAAUCCAACUUGUGUUUUGUUUUGUUUUGUUUUGUUUGUGUGUGUGUGUGUGUGUGUGUGGCACUGGGGAAAGUGGAAACAAACGUAUUGAAAUACAUAUUGGAAAUAAAAAUGGUUUGAGCGUCAGUGAUAUUCUCCUAGAAUGUACUUAUCUUACCUCGGCAUGUACUGUAGUCACUCAGUAUUAUUUGUAUAUGUUGCUAGAAUUUAGAUUGUAAAAUAGUGAAAUUUUAAUGUGUUCAUUUGUUUUUAAUGUAUAUAUGUCUUGCUCAGAUUAUUUGGUUUAAAUAAAACAACCUUGAGGUUUGUAGCUUUUCCUUAUACUAUAAAAUGCCAUAUUCUUCUAUUUUAACCUCACUAACUUAUGGCCAAUAUUGUGCUUCCAGCAACAUUUGAAAAUGACACUGUUGGUUUACUUUGACUUUUUCUAUGACCAGUGCCAUCCUUUUUUUAAAAAAAUAAUUUCAACUUUUAUUUUAGAUUCUAAGGGUACAUGUGCAGAGUGCAGGUUUGUUACAUGGGUAUAUUGUGUGAUACUGAGGUUUGUGGUAUGAAUGAUCCCAUCAUCCAGGUUGUGAGCAUAGUACCCAAUACAUAGUCUUUCAGCCCUUGCCCUCCCCGCUCCCCUCGCUCCCCCCGCCGCAGUCCUCAGUGUCUAUCGUUCCCAUCUUUAUGUCCUUGUGUACCCACAGCACCAUCCUUUUUGAAGCCUGAUUUACUUUAUAUCAAUUGAACUUCAGCAGCCACACUGCAGCCUAUGGCUGUGUGGUAUGAGGGGAAAAUCACACUGAUUACAUGUGAUUCCAGUUCUGGUACCUUCCUUUUGCACCUCAAAGUUAGUUAUAAGAAGAAUCAAAACUGUGGGACUCUGCAAACAUAUGCUGGUAUUCAUGUCUAAUCUGGGUUAGAUCAACUACUACUGUUCUCCCCUUUAUUCUGCUUUAUAAGUACUGCAUUCUGUUUCUGAGCCAAAUCUAAUGUAUUUCACCCUUUAUAUACCCUCUUUAGAGAGGCAGGUUGGUUGUCAGUAAUCAAGCCAUGGUUUUCCAGUGUUUCCCAAUUGUAUUUAUUGGUCAAAAGAGAGUAAUUCUUUCUUCAGCUCAUACCUCUUCUGACAACUUUUAGUUCCAUCCUUAUAACCUCUAUUUAUUUUUCUGUUCCUUCACCUCUCAUUCCCCUACCUCCAGAUGGCCUUUGGUUACAUUUAUUAAAAUAUAGGAAGGAAGACUAGCUCACCACAUUUGUAGGAUUGACUGGCUUGCAUUGGAUCAGAUUCUCUGGUGCACCCUAGGUAGCCAGGCAAGCUUUCCAUCUGAAGAUUAGCUUUAAUCAUGGGAAAAUGAGAUAUUCUUUUUGUACCAUUUAAAUCCAAAAAUGCCAGCUUCACUUUUUAUAUUUUUUAGAAGACAGCCUCGCUCUGUCACCCGGGCUGGAGUGCAGUGGCGCGAUCUCGGCUCACUGCAACCUCUGCCUCCUGGGCUCAAGCAAUUCUCGUGCCUCAGCCUCCCGAGUACCUGGGACUACAGCACAUACCACCACGCCCAGCUAAUUAUUUUGUAUUUUAGUAGAGAUGAGGUUUCACCAUGUUGGCCAGGCUGGUCUUGAACUCCUGAGUUCAGGCAAUCCAGCUGCCUCCCUCGGCCUCCCAAAGUGUUCGGAUUACAGGUGUGAGCCACCAUGCCCGGCCUCAGCUUGACUUUUCUUAAGUGUUUACUUGUUCUGUUAUCUUCUUUACCUUUCCUACUUUACCUCAAGUGGAAAACCUUCAAAAUUUAAUGAAUAAGUCAGGCAAAAAAAAAUAAUGUUCAAGAUUUUUUUUUCCUUCUUGAGCUUGCCUAGCUUAGCUUCAUUGUAUAAAGUUAAACUUCAUUUCUUUAAAAUAAUACAAAGCCAUCAGAGUUUAGUAAUUGUAUUCUUUAGUUAUUUACUUAUCUAAUAAGAACUUUAUGUUUAGCCCAUUUCCUUUAACUUAAAAACACUGCCUUCAUUGUACCAAAUUACUCUUCACAAUCAUGGUUCAUUUAAUUCUGGGGGUUGUCAGGAGAGAGCUUAAUUAAACCAGCAUGAACUUAGGAUUUCCAGAGCCAAGUGGUUUCGGCUUGCCACAUCAAGCCACAGUCAUGUGCUUUUCCACCAGCCAUGUUUACAGUAGCCAAAUAUCCUCCUCAAAAUGUCUUAUUGUCAGAAUUGUUGUGGUAAACUAAAUCCUUAGUAGGAAGUCAUAUCCCUUCAAAAAUCUAAGAUGAAGUACUUAUAAAAAGACGUGUGAAAACACCUCAGAAAACUAGCUUAUUUUAAAAACAAUGCAAUCAAAACUUAUUUUCCUGAUAUCUUAACAUUUCUUGGUUUUCAUAAGUUAAAUAUACAGUAUUAACAGAAAUUAAGCUGGUGGUUAUGAAUCACCAGGCAGCAACAGACAGUAUACAUAAUUAUUUGACGAGUGCAUCCAACAUAUUUUAAACUAAAAAUUGCAGUACAAAAAUAAAACUAACACUGUUAGCAUCAUCUUCUGAGUCUGUAGAGUCAAUCUUGAGUCAAGUUGAUUACGAGGUUUUUUUCUAUAAUGUCCUUCAAAAAGAGCUGCUCUGCAGUCACAUUGUGAUA
Molecule: long non-coding RNA, 3722 nt
Filed under: Pan troglodytes (chimpanzee)
Lineage: Eukaryota; Metazoa; Chordata; Mammalia; Primates; Hominidae
Description: long non-coding RNA NONPTRT012017
Source: RNAcentral